This 498-nucleotide ribosomal RNA is filed under the name uncultured bacterium. RNAcentral's name for it is "partial 16S ribosomal RNA". It matches the Rfam family "Bacterial small subunit ribosomal RNA", at positions 29 to 523 of the family's 1533-position model. The record is from RNAcentral.
AUUGAACGCUGGCGGCAUGCCUUACACAUGCAAGUCGAACGGUAACGCGGGGCAACCUGGCGACGAGUGGCGAACGGGUGAGUAAUGCAUCGGAACGCGCCCAGUAGUGGGGGAUAGCCCGCCGAAAGCCGGAUUAAUACCGCAUACGACCUACGGGUGAAAGCGGGGGACCGUAAGGCCUCGCGCUAUGGGACCGGCCGAUGUCAGAUUAGGUUGGUGGUGGGGUAAAGGCCUACCAAGCCGACGAUCUGUAGCUGGUCUGAGAGGACGACCAGCCACACUGGGACUGAGACACGGCCCAGACUCCUACGGGAGGCAGCAGUGGGGAAUUUUGGACAAUGGGGGCAACCCUGAUCCAGCCAUGCCGCGUGCGGGAAGAAGGCCUUCGGGUUGUAAACCGCUUUUGUCAGGGAAGAAACGCUCUGGGCUAAUACCCUGGGGUAAUGACGGUACCUGAAGAAUAAGCACCGGCUAACUACGUGCCAGCCGCCGCGGUAA